This 801-nucleotide ribosomal RNA is filed under the name uncultured bacterium. RNAcentral's name for it is "bacterial SSU rRNA". It matches the Rfam family "Bacterial small subunit ribosomal RNA", at positions 8 to 769 of the family's 1533-position model. The record is from RNAcentral.
AGAGUUUGAUCCUGGCUCAGGACGAACGCUGGCGGCGUGCCUAAUACAUGCAAGUCGAGCGAGCUUGCCUAGAUGAUUUUAGUGCUUGCACUAAAUGAAACUAGAUACAAGCGAGCGGCGGACGGGUGAGUAACACGUGGGUAACCUGCCCAAGAGACUGGGAUAACACCUGGAAACAGAUGCUAAUACCGGAUAACAACACUAGACGCAUGUCUAGAGUUUGAAAGAUGGUUCUGCUAUCACUCUUGGAUGGACCUGCGGUGCAUUAGCUAGUUGGUAAGGUAACGGCUUACCAAGGCAAUGAUGCAUAGCCGAGUUGAGAGACUGAUCGGCCACAUUGGGACUGAGACACGGCCCAAACUCCUACGGGAGGCAGCAGUAGGGAAUCUUCCACAAUGGACGAAAGUCUGAUGGAGCAACGCCGCGUGAGUGAAGAAGGGUUUCGGCUCGUAAAGCUCUGUUGGUAGUGAAGAAAGAUAGAGGUAGUAACUGGCCUUUAUUUGACGGUAAUUACUUAGAAAGUCACGGCUAACUACGUGCCAGCAGCCGCGGUAAUACGUAGGUGGCAAGCGUUGUCCGGAUUUAUUGGGCGUAAAGCGAGUGCAGGCGGUUCAAUAAGUCUGAUGUGAAAGCCUUCGGCUCAACCGGAGAAUUGCAUCAGAAACUGUUGAACUUGAGUGCAGAAGAGGAGAGUGGAACUCCAUGUGUAGCGGUGGAAUGCGUAGAUAUAUGGAAGAACACCAGUGGCGAAGGCGGCUCUCUGGUCUGCAACUGACGCUGAGGCUCGAAAGCAUGGGUAGC